CCCUUGUUAGCUCAGUUGGUAGAGCGCUCCACUGGAAAUGGACAGGUUCCGGGCUCGAUACCCGGACCAGGCG
This 73-nucleotide transfer RNA is filed under the name Ixodes scapularis (black-legged tick). It matches the Rfam family "tRNA". From Rfam's summary of the family: Transfer RNA (tRNA) molecules are approximately 80 nucleotides in length. Their secondary structure includes four short double-helical elements and three loops (D, anti-codon, and T loops). Further hydrogen bonds mediate the characteristic L-shaped molecular structure. tRNAs have two regions of fundamental functional importance: the anti-codon, which is responsible for specific mRNA codon recognition, and the 3' end, to which the tRNAs corresponding amino acid is attached (by aminoacyl-tRNA synthetases). tRNAs cope with the degeneracy of the genetic code in two manners: having more than one tRNA (with a specific anti-codon) for a particular amino acid; and 'wobble' base-pairing, i.e. permitting non-standard base-pairing at the 3rd anti-codon position. Lineage: Eukaryota; Metazoa; Arthropoda; Arachnida; Ixodida; Ixodidae. The record is from Rfam by way of RNAcentral.